GUAAAAACAGUUUCCCAUCAGCAGUCGAGUGCCGAGGCAGCGGAGAGAAAUGUUGUUACAAUCGAUAUUAAUGAAAAUAUUGGCCAUUUUUUUGGUCUGCUGGCUGGGACACGUCACAGCCCAGUCAUCUGCCGAUUAUAUGGAGCUCGAAAUCGGUUCAAGAGGUGAAGGUCCACCGGAAAAGACAGAAUUUCCCUGGGGAAAUGAUGACCAGGAUCUUGAUGCGACAAUUUAAGUUUCUUACGAUUUUGUAAAUUACACAAACAAUUGUAAUGCUUUAUUAAAUCUAUUAAAGAACCUAAUUCUUAUCAGU
This 313-nucleotide small RNA is filed under the name Drosophila yakuba. RNAcentral describes it as "GE13870". The record is from RNAcentral. Lineage: Eukaryota; Metazoa; Arthropoda; Insecta; Diptera; Drosophilidae.